Molecule: transfer RNA, 71 nt
Filed under: Elusimicrobia bacterium RIFOXYA2_FULL_40_6
Lineage: Bacteria; Pseudomonadati; Elusimicrobiota
Description: tRNA-Gly
Rfam family: tRNA
About the family: Transfer RNA (tRNA) molecules are approximately 80 nucleotides in length. Their secondary structure includes four short double-helical elements and three loops (D, anti-codon, and T loops). Further hydrogen bonds mediate the characteristic L-shaped molecular structure. tRNAs have two regions of fundamental functional importance: the anti-codon, which is responsible for specific mRNA codon recognition, and the 3' end, to which the tRNAs corresponding amino acid is attached (by aminoacyl-tRNA synthetases). tRNAs cope with the degeneracy of the genetic code in two manners: having more than one tRNA (with a specific anti-codon) for a particular amino acid; and 'wobble' base-pairing, i.e. permitting non-standard base-pairing at the 3rd anti-codon position.
Source: RNAcentral
GCGGGUGUAGUUUAGUGGUAAAACAUUAGCCUUCCAAGCUAAUUAUGAGGGUUCGAUUCCCUUCGCCCGCU